AUGAUGAACGCUAGCUACAGGCUUAACACAUGCAAGUCGAGGGGCAUCAGGAAGAAAGCUUGCUUUCUUUGCUGGCGACCGGCGCACGGGUGAGUAACACGUAUCCAACCUGCCCUUUACUCGGGGAUAGCCUUUCGAAAGAAAGAUUAAUACCCGAUAGCAUAAUGAUUCCGCAUGGUUUCAUUAUUAAAGGAUUCCGGUAAAGGAUGGGGAUGCGUUCCAUUAGGUUGUUGGUGAGGUAACGGCCCACCAAGCCUUCGAUGGAUAGGGGUUCUGAGAGGAAGGUCCCCCACAUUGGAACUGAGACACGGUCCAAACUCCUACGGGAGGCAGCAGUGAGGAAUAUUGGUCAAUGGGCGCUAGCCUGAACCAGCCAAGUAGCGUGAAGGAUGAAGGCUCUAUGGGUCGUAAACUUCUUUUAUAUAAGAAUAAAGUGCAGUAUGUAUACUGUUUUGUAUGUAUUAUAUGAAUAAGGAUCGGCUAACUCCGUGCCAGCAGCCGCGGCAAUACGGAGGAUCCGAGCGUUAUCCGGAUUUAUUGGGUUUAAAGGGAGCGUAGGUGGACUGGUAAGUCAGUUGUGAAGGUUUGCGGCUCAACCGUAAAAUUGCAGUUGAUACUGUCAGUCUUGAGUACAGUAGAGGUGGGCGGAAUUCGUGGUGUAGCGGUGAAAUGCUUAGAUAUCACGAAGAACUCCGAUUGCGAAGGCAGCUCACUGGACUGCAACUGACACUGAUGCUCGAAAGUGUGGGUAUCAAACAGGAUUAGAUACCCUGGUAGUCCACACAGUAAACGAUGAAUACUCGCUGUUUGCGAUAUACAGUAAGCGGCCAAGCGAAAGCAUUAAAUAUUCCACCUGGGGAGUACGCCGGCAACGGUGAAACUCAAAGGAAUUGACGGGGGCCCGCACAAGCGGAGGAACAUGUGGUUUAAUUCGAUGAUACGCGAGGAACCUUACCCGGGCUUAAAUUGCAGUGGAAUGAUGUGGAAACAUGUCAGUGAGCAAUCACCGCUGUGAAGGUGCUGCAUGGUUGUCGUCAGCUCGUGCCGUGAGGUGUCGGCUUAAGUGCCAUAACGAGCGCAACCCUUAUCUUUAGUUACUAACAGGUUAUGCUGAGGACUCUAGAGAGACUGCCGUCGUAAGAUGUGAGGAAGGUGGGGAUGACGUCAAAUCAGCACGGCCCUUACGUCCGGGGCUACACACGUGUUACAAUGGGGGGUACAGAAGGCAGCUAGCGGGUGACCGUAUGCUAAUCCCAAAAUCCUCUCUCAGUUCGGAUCGAAGUCUGCAACCCGACUUCGUGAAGCUGGAUUCGCUAGUAAUCGCGCAUCAGCCACGGCGCGGUGAAUACGUUCCCGGGCCUUGUACACACCGCCCGUCAAGCCAUGGGAGCCGGGGGUACCUGAAGUACGUAACCGCAAGGAUCGUCCUGGGGUAAAAC
Molecule: ribosomal RNA, 1439 nt
Filed under: uncultured organism
Description: SSU rRNA
Rfam family: Bacterial small subunit ribosomal RNA
Source: RNAcentral